UACAGAGGUCUCAAGCGUUGUUCGGAUUCAUUGGGCGUAAAGGGUGCGUAGGCGGCGCGGUAAGUCGGGUGUGAAAUCUCACAGCUUAACUGUGAAACUGCAUUGGAUACUAUUCGGCUAGAGAGUUGGAGGGGGGACUGGAAUUCUCGGUGUAGCAGUGAAAUGCGUAGAUAUCAGGAGGAACACCGGUGGCGAAGGCGGGUCUCUGGGCCGAUACUGACGCUGAGGAGCGAAAGCGUGGGGAGCGAACAGG
RNAcentral lists this ribosomal RNA (253 nucleotides) under uncultured bacterium. RNAcentral describes it as "partial 16S ribosomal RNA". It matches the Rfam family "Bacterial small subunit ribosomal RNA", at positions 524 to 776 of the family's 1533-position model. The record is from RNAcentral.